Long non-coding RNA from Rana temporaria (common frog), 538 nucleotides. RefSeq lists it as uncharacterized. NCBI's taxonomy places the organism in Eukaryota, Metazoa, Chordata, Amphibia, Anura, Ranidae. The record is from RefSeq and is a predicted model, not a curated record. The transcript is spliced from 3 exons.
CUCCUGUAGCGAGUCCUAUAUAACACGUCGCGUACAUCCCGAAUCUCAUAGACUCUGUAGACUCCACCAUGUCUCCUUACACCGGCGUCUUCCUCCUCCUCCUCCUGAGCUGUGCAGCCAUCUAUGCGGACAACCAACCCCACCAUCCAGAUCCUCCACCCCACAAGCCACCACCUCCUCCACAUAUUCAACCCCACUAUCCAGCUCCUCCACCUAUUCGACCCAACAAUCCACCUCCUCCACCUCCGAACAACAUAGCUUACAGAGCUUGUCCACCGGUUCCCAGGAUAAGAUGUCAGACCCCGUGGGUUAAAUCAGAAUGCAGCUUCGACCAUCAGUGCGGCCCGGGCAAAAAAUGCUGCGAGACCCCCUGCAAUAAAGCCUGCAAGAAAGUCUAAGAUUUGGCUGCAGACCAAUAUGGGAAGACACGGCUCCUCCAGAUAAUUCCCAGUUGAGUGUAUAACAUGAAAUGUGGGUGUCUCAGGUGUAAUUCCCGUUGUGCAUUGUGUGUUUCCAUCAAUAAAAUACAUGACAAGGA